ACGAACGCUGGCGGCGUUCCUAAUACAUGCAAGUUGAGCGCUGAAGUUUGGUACUUGUACCAACUGGAUGAGCAGCGAACGGGUGAGUAACGCGUGGGGAAUCUUCCUUUGAGCGGGGGACAACAUUUGGAAACGAAUGCUAAUACCGCAUAAAAACUUUAAACACAAGUUUUAAGUUUGAAAGAUGCAAUUGCAUCACUCAAAGAUGACCCCGCGUUGUAUUAGCUAGUUGGUGAGGUAAAGGCUCACCAAGGCGAUGAUACAUAGCCGACCUGAGAGGGUGAUAGGCAAAAUUGGGCUUGGGACACGGCCAACAACCCUACGGCAGGGACCAGUACGGAAUCUUCGGCAAUGGCCGAAAGUCUGACCGAGCAACGACGCGUGAGUGACGAAGGUUUUCGGAUCGUAAAACUCUGUUGGUAGAGAAGAACGUUGGUGAGAGUGGAAAGCUCAUAAAGUGACGGUAACUACCCAGAAAGGGACGGCUAACUCCGUG
RNAcentral lists this ribosomal RNA (496 nucleotides) under uncultured bacterium. RNAcentral describes it as "partial 16S ribosomal RNA". It matches the Rfam family "Bacterial small subunit ribosomal RNA", at positions 29 to 507 of the family's 1533-position model. The record is from RNAcentral.